RNAcentral lists this RNase P RNA (342 nucleotides) under Actinomycetota bacterium. Its description in RNAcentral is "Actinobacteria bacterium RNase P RNA component class A". It matches the Rfam family "Bacterial RNase P class A". From Rfam's summary of the family: Ribonuclease P (RNase P) is a ubiquitous endoribonuclease, found in archaea, bacteria and eukarya as well as chloroplasts and mitochondria. Lineage: Bacteria; Bacillati; Actinomycetota. The record is from RNAcentral.
UGGGUCGACCAGACGGCCGCGGCAUUGCCGAGGAACGUCCGGGCUUCACAGAGCAAGGUGGUGGGUAACACCCACCCGGGGAAACCCGCGAGAAAGUGCAACAGAAAGUAAACCGCCGCGCAAGCGGUAAGGGUGAAACGGUGGUGUAAGAGACCACCAGCACCUCGAGUGAUCGAGGUGGCUAUGUAAACCUCGCCUGAAGCAAGAUCAGACAGAAGGUGCUUGAGAGCUGCUCGCUCGAGCCUUCGGGUAGAUCGCUAGAGGGUGCCGGCAACGGUACUCCGAGAUAGAUGGUCGUCACCCGAAAGGGUACAAAACCCGGCGUAUCGGUCGACCCGUCCU